GUGUAGUAGACCUUACAGUGAAAUGCUGAAUACAACAGGUGUAGAACUUACAAGCACUUAACCAACAAUGCAGAAAAUACCACAAAAGUAAGAGAUAAGAAUAACACAUUAAAGAUCAGCAGUAAAUAACAAUAGUGGGGCAAUAUACAGGGUAUUACGGUACAGAGACAAUGUGGAGGCUAUAUACAGGGUAUUACGGUACAGAGUCAAUGUGGAGGCUAUACACAGGGUAUUACGGUACAGAGUCAAUGUGGAGGCUAUACACAGGGGGGUACCGGUACAGAGUCAAUGUGGAGGCUAUAUACAGGGGGGUACCGGUACAGAGUCAAUGUGGAGGCUAUAUACAGGGUGUUACGGUACAGAGUCAAUGUGGAGGCUAUAUACAGGGGGGUACCGGUACAGAGUCAAUGUGGAGGCUAUAUACAGGGUGUUACGGUACAGAGUCAAUGUGGAGGCUAUAUACAGGGUAUUACGGUACAGAGUCAAUGUGGAGGCUAUAUACAGGGGUUACCGGUACAGAGUCAAUGUGGAGGCUAUAUACAGGGGUACUGGUACAGAGUCAAUGUGGAGGCUAUAUACAGGGUGUUACGGUACAGAGUCAAUGUGGAGGCUAUAUACAGGGGUUACCGGUACAGAGUCAAUGUGCGGUUAGUAGAUAGGUAAUUAUGUAAUUGAGGUUUUCAACCUCACACUUUGGGCUGGAUGUUUCAGUAUGUAGUUAAUUCAUGCAUAAUCACUGUCUUACCUCAAAAAUCCACAAAAAGUUGGAAAGCGACAAUUUGUUGAAACUGUGCCGCGCCAUUUCCCCUCCAUUUCCCUGGCAAUUAGAGUUCUAUCUCAUGAGCUUCAGCCACUCGUAUUUGAGUGACAGCUUGCAAGAAGCCAGCCCAGGGUUAUCCAAUGAGGUUGCAGGGCGCGCCACAGCAGAGAGAGAGAUGACGUGGUGAACAUAUGUGAUGUAGUACAACAUUUUCAGGGACCACUUUUGACUUGUGAGUGUUACUAUCAGCACUACUGGCUAAAAAGUACACAAAAAGUAGCAGAGAAUCUCUUUAAUGAGUCUGUUGACUGUAGUUUAUACAUGAUCGGACUGUUCCAGCUGGAACAACUAGUUUGUUGUGUGUCUUUUGUAUUAAAAUGUUCCAUCAGUUUAUGUUCCACAUUAUCCUGUUAUUAUACAACAUUAUCUUCACCAGAUCUCAAACCAGCCUUCUACAUUGUCACAUUAUAGUGUCAUUAUACAACAUUAUCUUCACCAGAUCUCAAACCAGCCUUCUACAUUGACCAUAUUAUCCUGUUAUUAUACAACAUUAUCUUCACCAGAUCUCAAACCAGCCUUCUACAUUGUCACAUUAUAGUGUCAUUAUACAACAUUAUCUUCACCAGAUCUCAAACCAGCCUUCUACAUUGACCAUAUUAUCCUGUUAUUAUACAGCAUUAUCUUCACCAGAUCUCAAACCAGCCUUCUACAUUGACCACAUUAUCCUGUUAUUAUACAACAUUAUCUUCACCAGAUCUCAAACCGGCCUUCUACAUUGUCACAUUAUAGUGUCAUUAUACAACAUUAUCAUCACCAGAUCUCAAACCAGCCUUCUACAUUGUCACAUUAUCCUGUUAUUAUACAGCAUUAUCUUCACCAGAUC
Molecule: long non-coding RNA, 1643 nt
Organism: Oncorhynchus tshawytscha (Chinook salmon)
Lineage: Eukaryota; Metazoa; Chordata; Actinopteri; Salmoniformes; Salmonidae
Source: Ensembl